This 291-nucleotide unclassified non-coding RNA is filed under the name plant metagenome. Its description in RNAcentral is "partial contains small subunit ribosomal RNA, internal transcribed spacer 1, and 5.8S ribosomal RNA". The stretch from base 243 to 291 matches the Rfam family "5.8S ribosomal RNA", at positions 1 to 49 of the family's 154-position model. The record is from RNAcentral.
UUACCGUAGGUGAACCUGCGGUAGGAUCAUUACUGAACACUUUUUUCUUUUCCGAAAGAAAAAAAACUUUCUUUUAAAUAUUCUCCCCUGUGCAAUUCAACUAAAUUUAAAUAGAUGCUGCACGUCUUUUUUCAUGAAAGUCGUGCGCAUCUAGACCAAAACUUUUUUACAUCCAAAUACUCUAAUAAAAGGAGAACACUUUUUCAGGUGUUUUCUGACAAAAGUUAUUUUAAAACAAAAACAACUUUUAACAAUGGAUCUCUUGGUUCUUACAUCGAUGAAGAACGCAGC